Molecule: ribosomal RNA, 253 nt
Filed under: uncultured bacterium
Lineage: Bacteria
Description: partial 16S ribosomal RNA
Rfam family: Bacterial small subunit ribosomal RNA
Source: RNAcentral
GACGAAGGGGGCAAGCGUUGUUCGGAAUUACUGGGCGUAAAGCGCGUGUAGGUGGUUAUCCAAGUCAGGCGUGAAAGCCUUGAGCUCAACUCAAGAAAUGCGCUUGAUACUGGGUGGCUAGAGGACCGGAGAGGAUAGUGGAAUUCCCAGUGUAGUGGUGAAAUACGUAGAGAUUGGGAAGAACACCAGUGGCGAAGGCGGCUAUCUGGACGGUUUCUGACACUAAGACGCGAAAGCGUGGGGAGCAAACAGC